GCCGUGGUGGUGCAGUGGUCAGCACACCCGAUUCGGUAACCUAAGUCCCUACGUUCGUUUACCUAAGUUCCUAAUACUCUCGCUCUCGAGGAUCGGGAGGUCGUUGGUUCGAAUCCAGCCCAUGGUG
Molecule: transfer RNA, 127 nt
Filed under: Aureobasidium namibiae CBS 147.97
Lineage: Eukaryota; Fungi; Ascomycota; Dothideomycetes; Dothideales; Saccotheciaceae
Rfam family: tRNA
About the family: Transfer RNA (tRNA) molecules are approximately 80 nucleotides in length. Their secondary structure includes four short double-helical elements and three loops (D, anti-codon, and T loops). Further hydrogen bonds mediate the characteristic L-shaped molecular structure. tRNAs have two regions of fundamental functional importance: the anti-codon, which is responsible for specific mRNA codon recognition, and the 3' end, to which the tRNAs corresponding amino acid is attached (by aminoacyl-tRNA synthetases). tRNAs cope with the degeneracy of the genetic code in two manners: having more than one tRNA (with a specific anti-codon) for a particular amino acid; and 'wobble' base-pairing, i.e. permitting non-standard base-pairing at the 3rd anti-codon position.
Source: Rfam by way of RNAcentral